Molecule: non-coding RNA, 30 nt
Filed under: Rattus norvegicus (Norway rat)
Lineage: Eukaryota; Metazoa; Chordata; Mammalia; Rodentia; Muridae
Source: RNAcentral
CAAUUUGGUAAACUUAAAGUCAUUGGGGAU